GACGAACGCUGGCGGCGUGCUUAACACAUGCAAGUCGAACGGAAAGGCCCUGCUUUUGUGGGGUGCUCGAGUGGCGAACGGGUGAGUAACACGUGAGUAACCUGCCCUUGACUUUGGGAUAACUUCAGGAAACUGGGGCUAAUACCGGAUAGGAGCUCCUGCUGCAUGGUGGGGGUUGGAAAGUUUCGGCGGUUGGGGAUGGACUCGCGGCUUAUCAGCUUGUUGGUGGGGUAGUGGCUUACCAAGGCUUUGACGGGUAGCCGGCCUGAGAGGGUGACCGGCCACAUUGGGACUGAGAUACGGCCCAGACUCCUACGGGAGGCAGCAGUGGGGAAUAUUGCACAAUGGGCGGAAGCCUGAUGCAGCAACGCCGCGUGCGGGAGGACGGCCUUCGGGUGGUAAACCGCUUUCGCCUGUGACGAAGCGUGAGUGACGGGAAAGGGGAAAGAAGCACCGGCUAACUACGU
This 467-nucleotide ribosomal RNA is filed under the name uncultured bacterium. RNAcentral's name for it is "partial 16S ribosomal RNA". It matches the Rfam family "Bacterial small subunit ribosomal RNA", at positions 28 to 506 of the family's 1533-position model. The record is from RNAcentral.